UACGUAGGGCGCAAGCGUUAUCCGGAAUUAUUGGGCGUAAAGAGCUCGUAGGCGGUUUGUCGCGUCUGCCGUGAAAGUCCGGGGCUCAACUCCGGAUCUGCGGUGGGUACGGGCAGACUAGAGUGAUGUAGGGGAGACUGGAAUUCCUGGUGUAGCGGUGAAAUGCGCAGAUAUCAGGAGGAACACCGAUGGCGAAGGCAGGUCUCUGGGCAUUAACUGACGCUGAGGAGCGAAAGCAUGGGGAGCGAACAGGAUUAGAAACCCGUGUAGU
RNAcentral lists this ribosomal RNA (271 nucleotides) under uncultured bacterium. RNAcentral's name for it is "partial 16S ribosomal RNA". It matches the Rfam family "Bacterial small subunit ribosomal RNA", at positions 524 to 794 of the family's 1533-position model. The record is from RNAcentral.